This 522-nucleotide ribosomal RNA is filed under the name uncultured bacterium. RNAcentral's name for it is "bacterial SSU rRNA". It matches the Rfam family "Archaeal small subunit ribosomal RNA", at positions 345 to 866 of the family's 1478-position model. The record is from RNAcentral.
AACCUCCGCAAUGUGAGAAAUCGCGACGGGGGGAUCCCAAGUGCCAUUCUUAACGGGAUGGCUUUUCAUUAGUGUAAAGAGUCUUUUGGAAUAAGGGCUGGGCAAGACCGGUGCCAGCCGCCGCGGUAACACCGGCAGCUCUAGUGGUAGCAGUUUUUAUUGGGCCUAAAGCGUCCGUAGCCGGUUUAAUAAGUCUCUGGUGAAAUCCUGUAGCUUAACUGUGGGAAUUGCUGGAGAUACUAUUAGACUUGAGACCGGGAGAGGUUAGAGGUACUCCCAGGGUAGAGGUGAAAUUCUGUAAUCCUGGGAGGACCGCCUGUUGCGAAGGCGUCUAACUGGAACGGUUCUGACGGUGAGGGACGAAAGUUAGGGGCGCGAACCGGAUUAGAUACCCGGGUAGUCCUAACUGUAAACGAUGCGGACUUGGUGUUGGGGUGGCUUUGAGCUGCUCCAGUGCCGAAGGGAAGCUGUUAAGUCCGCCGCCUGGGAAGUACGGUCGCAAGACUGAAACUUAAAGGAAUU